This 1145-nucleotide ribosomal RNA is filed under the name uncultured bacterium. RNAcentral describes it as "bacterial SSU rRNA". It matches the Rfam family "Bacterial small subunit ribosomal RNA", at positions 8 to 1172 of the family's 1533-position model. The record is from RNAcentral.
GAGAGUUUGAUCCUGGCUCAGGACGAACGCUGGCGGCACGCUUAACACAUGCAAGUCGAACGAGAGAAGAGAAGCUUGCUUUUCUGAUCUAGUGGCGGACGGGUGAGUAACACGUGAGCAAUCUGCCUUUCAGAGGGGGAUACCGAUUGGAAACGAUCGUUAAUACCGCAUAACAUAAUUGAACCGCAUGAUUUGAUUAUCAAAGAUUUAUCGCUGAAAGAUGAGCUCGCGUCUGAUUAGCUAGUUGGUAAGGUAACGGCCUACCAAGGCGACGAUCAGUAGCCGGACUGAGAGGUUGAUCGGCCACAUUGGGACUGAGACACGGCCCAGACUCCUACGGGAGGCAGCAGUGGGGAAUAUUGCACAAUGGAGGAAACUCUGAUGCAGCGAUGCCGCGUGAGGGAAGAAGGUUUUAGGAUUGUAAACCUCUGUCUUCAGGGACGAAAAAAGACGGUACCUGAGGAGGAAGCUCCGGCUAACUACGUGCCAGCAGCCGCGGUAAUACGUAGGGAGCGAGCGUUGUCCGGAAUUACUGGGUGUAAAGGGAGCGUAGGCGGGAUCGCAAGUCAGAUGUGAAAACUAUGGGCUUAACCCAUAAACUGCAUUUGAAACUGUGGUUCUUGAGUGAAGUAGAGGUAAGCGGAAUUCCUAGUGUAGCGGUGAAAUGCGUAGAUAUUAGGAGGAACAUCAGUGGCGAAGGCGGCUUACUGGGCUUUAACUGACGCUGAGGCUCGAAAGCGUGGGGAGCAAACAGGAUUAGAUACCCUGGUAGUCCACGCCGUAAACGAUGAUUACUAGGUGUGGGGGGACUGACCCCUUCCGUGCCGCAGCAAACGCAAUAAGUAAUCCACCUGGGGAGUACGACCGCAAGGUUGAAACUCAAAGGAAUUGACGGGGGCCCGCACAAGCAGUGGAGUAUGUGGAUUAAUUCGAAGCAACGCGAAGAACCUUACCAGGUCUUGACAUCGUAUGCAUAGCUCAGAGAUGAGUGAAAUCUCUUCGGAGACAUAUAGACAGGUGGUGCAUGGUUGUCGUCAGCUCGUGUCGUGAGAUGUUGGGUUAAGUCCCGCAACGAGCGCAACCCUUACUGUUAGUUGCUACGCAAGAGCACUCUAGAAGGACUGCCGUUGACAAAACGGAGGAAG